UGACGAGUUUGAUCCUGGCUCAGAUUGAACGCUGGCGGCAUGCUUUACACAUGCAAGUCGAACGGUAACAGGUCUUCGGAUGCUGACGAGUGGCGAACGGGUGAGUAACACAUCGGAACGUGCCUAGUAGUGGGGGAUAACUACUCGAAAGAGUAGCUAAUACCGCAUGAGAUCUAAGGAUGAAAGCAGGGGACCUUCGGGCCUUGCGCUACUAGAGCGGCUGAUGGCAGAGUUAGGUAGUUGGUGGGGUAAAGGCUCACCAAGCCAACGAUCUGUAGCUGGUCUGAGAGGACGACCAGCCACACUGGAACUGAGACACGGUCCAGACUCCGUACGGGGAGGC
Molecule: ribosomal RNA, 343 nt
Filed under: uncultured Comamonas sp.
Lineage: Bacteria; Pseudomonadati; Pseudomonadota; Betaproteobacteria; Burkholderiales; Comamonadaceae
Description: bacterial SSU rRNA
Rfam family: Bacterial small subunit ribosomal RNA
Source: RNAcentral